UACGUAGGGGGCAAGCGUUGUCCGGAAUCAUUGGGCGUAAAGAGCGUGUAGGCGGCCCGGUAAGUCCGCUGUGAAAGUCCAGGGCUCAACCCUGGGAUGCCGGUGGAUACUGCUGGGCUAGAGUACGGAAGAGGCGAGUGGAAUUCCCGGUGUAGCGGUGAAAUGCGCAGAUAUCGGGAGGAACACCAAUUGCGAAGGCAGCUCGCUGGGACGUCACUGACGCUGAGACGCGAAAGCGUGGGGAGCAAACAGG
RNAcentral lists this ribosomal RNA (253 nucleotides) under uncultured bacterium. RNAcentral's name for it is "partial 16S ribosomal RNA". It matches the Rfam family "Bacterial small subunit ribosomal RNA", at positions 524 to 776 of the family's 1533-position model. The record is from RNAcentral.